Molecule: long non-coding RNA, 659 nt
Organism: Carassius carassius (crucian carp)
Lineage: Eukaryota; Metazoa; Chordata; Actinopteri; Cypriniformes; Cyprinidae
Exons: 3
Source: RefSeq, a predicted model, not a curated record
CAGGAUACUGCGAGUCUUCCAGGAAAACAGUUAUCAUUAGAGAGAGGAACUCGAAGGGUCACGUCCGACCUUCAGCUCACAGUGAAUGUGUUUUGGACCAAUCGCUGAUCAGGAGAAAUGGAAGAGACUUAGUGCUGCUGCAGUCUUCAAUAAAGUUGUUCUCUUUUGAGUGCUGCAGGUGUGGAUGGAGUCCAAGUAAAACAACAAAAACACAAACAGCUGUUUACGUGAGGUUAAGAAACAGGACAUUGCAUGAAAUGUUCCUUGCCAGCAUGAUGAAAAGUCUCUAUUGUGGUGCAUAACUUCUUAAUAUGGGCUGCUGAGGUCAGUACCAAUAAACUACACUUGAGAUGUGUAUUCAUAGUAUGCUACGGGCGAAUAAUAUAAGAGGAAAUCAUGUAUUCUGUAUUUACGGCUGUAUAUGCUGUAAAAAUCUGAAUUCUAAUUGGAUGAAGUUUCUUAGAAUGAUACAGAAUCAUCUUCUCCCUCACACAUACAAACAACUCCAGAGAUAAACAGCUGGACACAAUAAGCAGAAUCUCCUUCUGUCCUUCUUUCGACUGUUUUUCCACAGUAUUGUGUUUCACAAAGCACGCCGCUCACGUGAAACCUGUUUGGAUGUAUAAGCAGAUCUGAGAAACAGAAAGCCAGGAAUACUA